GACGAACGCUGGCGGCGUGCUUAACACAUGCAAGUCGAACGAUGAACCCGGAGCUUGCUCCGGCGGAUUAGUGGCGAACGGGUGAGUAACACGUGAGUAACCUGCCCUUGACUCUGGGAUAACUGCUAGAAAUGGUAGCUAAUACCGGAUACGACCCUCGGUGGCAUCACCAGGGGGUGGAAAGAAUUUCGGUCAAGGAUGGACUCGCGGCCUAUCAGCUAGUUGGUGAGGUAACGGCUCACCAAGGCGACGACAGGUAGCCGGCCUGAGAGGGUGACCGGCCACACUGGGACUGAGACACGGCCCAGACUCCUACGGGAGGCAGCAGUGGGGAAUAUUGCACAAUGGGCGCAAGCCUGAUGCAGCGACGCCGCGUGAGGGAUGACGGCCUUCGGGUUGUAAACCUCUUUCAGCAUCGACGAAGCGCAAGUGACGGUAGGUGCAGAAGAAGGACCGGCCAACUACGUGCCAGCAGCCGCGGUAA
This 484-nucleotide ribosomal RNA is filed under the name uncultured bacterium. Its description in RNAcentral is "partial 16S ribosomal RNA". It matches the Rfam family "Bacterial small subunit ribosomal RNA", at positions 28 to 523 of the family's 1533-position model. The record is from RNAcentral.